Molecule: ribosomal RNA, 440 nt
Filed under: uncultured bacterium
Lineage: Bacteria
Description: partial 16S ribosomal RNA
Rfam family: Bacterial small subunit ribosomal RNA
Source: RNAcentral
CCUACGGGGGGCAGCAGUGGGGAAUAUUGCACAAUGGGGGAAACCCUGAUGCAGCGACGCCGCGUGAGUGAAGAAGUAAUUCGUUAUGUAAAGCUCUAUCAGCAGGGAAGUAAAUGACGGUACGUGAGUAAGAAGCCCCGGCUAACUACGUGCCAGAAGCCGCGGUAAUACGUAGGGGGCAAGCGUUAUCCGGAUUUACUGGGUGUAAAGGGAGCGUAGACGGUAGUGCAAGUCUGGAGUGAAAGGCUGCGGCUCAACCCCAGGACUGCUCUGGAAACUGUACGGCUUGAGUGCAGGAGAGGUGAGUGGAAUUCCUGGUGUAGCGGUGAAAUGCGUAGAUAUUAGGAGGAACACCAGUGGCGAAGGCGGCUUACUGGACUGUAACUGACGUUGAGGCUCGAAAGCGUGGGGAGCAAACAGGAUUAGAUACCCCUGUAGUC